CGGGAGGCAGCAGUGGGGAAUAUUGGACAAUGGGCGCAAGCCUGAUCCAGCCAUGCCGCGUGAGUGAUGAAGGCCUUAGGGUUGUAAAGCUCUUUCACCGGAGAAGAUAAUGACGGUAUCCGGAGAAGAAGCCCCGGCUAACUUCGUGCCAGCAGCCGCGGUAAUACGAAGGGGGCUAG
This 179-nucleotide ribosomal RNA is filed under the name uncultured Agrobacterium sp. Its description in RNAcentral is "partial 16S ribosomal RNA". It matches the Rfam family "Bacterial small subunit ribosomal RNA", at positions 342 to 538 of the family's 1533-position model. The record is from RNAcentral. Lineage: Bacteria; Pseudomonadati; Pseudomonadota; Alphaproteobacteria; Hyphomicrobiales; Rhizobiaceae.